UCAAUCAAAGAAACAAAAAAGGCCAUGAAUGAAGAAGGUGGACAUUUCAUCCUCUUUCUAGUUACUCUGGGAGCUGAUCUGAUAAAUGCACUUCAAAGGAAGGAAAUGCUAGGUCUUUCCCAUGUUAGUAUGGUCGAGCAUAAAAUAUUUGAAAAUGAAGUCAAAAUAAGAAAGGUAGAAAGAAAACUAAAAGUACCUUUGAUCCGUUGAGCGAGAGCCCUUCCACACGAAACUCCCGAAUCACUAUGGCUGAUUUUCGUCUCUGUUCGACAAGUCGGUUGCACAGUCAGGCAGCUAAAGGGGUGUGAGAGGAAAUCGAACCACGAAGGCAAGUAUCCUCGCAGGCCCCUGCGAUGACCAGUAGGUAGAUGAAUUUGAUAUGUAUCAAAGAUAUUACCACGGCGAUGAAAAAGAAAAGAUUGCGAAUCUCCCUCAGUGGUCCUUUCAAACGAACCUAAUAAAUUCGAAAUAAAAACAGGAAACCCACCAGUGCGAAGAAUGAAAUGCAUGUAGUGGAAUUGAAAAGCAGAUAAGUUUUCUAGUUGGCGCAGUUAGAAGUUGCUUGGAAGGAUCUGUGCUGGUUGGUAGACUUGCUAGAGUGGUUGCUUUUGGUUGACAUAGAUCUAUAGGUAUGUGCUCGCAGUCGUCUAGGUGCCUGGCCAGCACACCGCUGCUUUAGUGAGGCUGGAAACUCUUUCCUUUCCUCUUCCUUAGAUUCUAUUCAGGAGUCCAAGCGUAAAGUAGAUUUGUUUAUUGACCUUAAAGCAAAGUAAGGUCACCGGAGGCUUGUAGACAUGUAUCGGAAAUACCAAUGAAUUCCUUUUUGUCGAGUUCUUUCGAGUCAAAAGUUUUUCUAAUUUGUUCAGUUGGACUGUGGAAGUGUACUCGGUAAUGACCGGGGGGGAGCAAAUGGGAGAACUUUCCAAACAUGAAACAAAGAGAUGCGAGAUUCAAUAAUAAUAGAAUGCAAACGUUUCUUUCCAUCCCACAUGGAUAAAAGGAGAUAAACGGGAAUUAAUUCUAAGUCCCACAUGAAGAAAAAAGUAAAAUAUUCCGAGGAGAAAUAUAUUAUUUUGUGAUUAGGUAUUUUUCAUAAAUUUUAAUUACUCAAAAUUUAAUAAACAAUUAUUUAUAAGAUUUACAAUUUAUCGUCAUAUCUCAUUAGAUUUAUAUUAAAAAAUGUAAAACAUGUAUCAUUUGAAAUAAAAAAAAUCUAAAGCAUAAAUUAUUUUGACACAGAAGGAAUAUGUUUUAGUGGCCAAGUCAUGUGGAUAUAUUAGGGCUGAGUCCUCUAAAAUAUAACACCAAUGUUCUCAGGCGUCAAUUUGUUUAUUUAUUUUAUAUCAUUCACAAGAUUUUGCUGCCUUUGUGCAUGGACGAACCCAGUAACGAUAUCCACCACCCACUAUAACUUCCCCCUGUUGAUAUGUGACGAUAAGCGCAAGUAGACGUGCGACCUAAAACCUUAAACAGAAGAAGACAAGUAACAAAUAAAUACUAUGAAGAUAGCAAAUAUAAAAUAUAACUGUGGAGGGAACUCCUCUCUCUCCCUCGAAACCCUCGUGACCUGAAGAAACCCUAACGCGGCGGCUCCUCCCCCGGCGUCCGCUACUCUAGCGGCGUCGGAGGCUACUCCUUCAACUCUCCCUCUCCUUUUCCUUUUGCCUUUCUGGUACCAUUCCAUCUCUCGGCGACAUACUUGCUGUCUCUGGUGAGUUUAACGGUGGCUAGUGGUUGUUCUGACCGCGGCGGAGCAAGAUCUGGACAUAUCGACGGCGGAUCUGGAGCGGCAGUGAGUCGAGAGAAGAAGAGGUGGUCACUGGUUGGGUCGGCUUUUAGGGUUCUACUGUCGAGUUUCAGUUCGAGCCGUUUUACUUUGGUCUCGUCGGCUCCCAGUGAAGAGGCGGUGGCGUGUGACUGUUUGCUUGACACUUUGGCUGCGGAUUUGGAGGCUGGUCUCACCUUGCCGGCCAUUGUUUCAGAUCUGCAACGAAGGGGUGGAUGUGGUGACGAUAGGAGCUAUCUCGGCGUGUGAGAUGCUCUAUGUCUUCUACCGCUCAAGAGAACUCCAGAGUCUCUCUCUGGAGGCACACCGAGGUUCGUACGGAGGACGUGUGUUCACCGAACUUUCUCUCGCGAAGUGUGUACUGUUUCUUUCUGGAGACCGUAAAGAAUCGUCUAUGGUUUGGUCGGAGAAAGGAAGGGAAGUGCUUCUUCUCUGUUCAAGCAGUGUUGCGACAUUGGCGUGAAGUCGUCUGAUUAGGAGAAGUCGUUUCUUCGGUUCUCGAAGACGAGUCAUGACGGUCCUUCUGCUUUCUCGAGUGGUCUGCGGGAGAGCUCGAAGGCCAUUGGUGAUCAUGAUUAGAGGCAUGGUAUGCGCAGUACCGAUUAUUGUCUUACCCGGUAGCUGUGCCUCUUCUUCUGCUGUUCAGGUUCAAAGCUGUCCGUUAAUGGAGCCAGGACCUCGACCCGUUUUUCCCCAGCUACGAAACCGCUGUCCCGAAGCCUUCAGAUACAUGGAGAGGAGUAAGCGCUGGUUUGGCGUUGAAGUAACUGGUCGGCCAAAUUCUUUCGAUCUCUAAUCCAGUUGCUAAGAGCUCUAAUUGAAUACCUCUCUCAAUCGUGAGAAGAAGCACCUUCCCGGUGAUGAAGCAAUGGCUGAGCUUAAAUGUCCAAUCAAUAGCUCCAUUUGCUAUGUGCGUUUUUUAGAAUUCUCAUUAUUGGUUUCUGCAGGCUAAGGAUAUGUUUUGUAUUCUGGUUUUUAGUGGUAGAAUUUAGUGGUUUAAGAGACGGUUCAUUUCGAGUAGUGGAAUGAACUUGUUCUCGGAGUGGUGAAAAAUGCAAUAUCGGAUUGAUUCGGGUAGCUUAGGAUCCUUCUAAGUGUUCCUAGGUGAUACUAGAUCCCGAUAUUGUAUGUGGGGUGAAAUCUUGUGAGGUUGUAAUCUCGUUACCACGAAUUGGUUAAUGCAAAGUUGAAGUUGAGCCAAAAAAAAAAAAAUAUAUAUAACUGUGGAGGGAGAGAGGGAGAUGUUUUGUUUGUUUUGGGGAAAGAAUAGACAGUGGGAAGUGCGACAUGCGAGCCAUUUACGCAUUUUACUAAGGAAGAAUAAAGCCAAAACGGGCAUAUACUUAUUGAUUAUACUUUCUCCAGAAAUAAAGAUAAAGGCAUAUAUCGUGUGGUGAUAUCAGAUUUUAUAAAUAAUCAUACUUAACCAGUUGUUGAAGUUUAAAUACGUUAGAUAUCAGUCAGGGGUUUCCUUAACUAAUGUAUAUAAAAUAGUUUCAUAAACACCUAGGUGGCUUGAAGACUUUACUAGCUUGAAUGACUUUUUUUUUUUUUACCAGCUUGAGUGAUUAACAGAGAAAAAUUACAUAUGUCAGAAAACCUAAGAAACAUUUAAAACCAAACAGCUGGGAUAACCUAAAUAUCAACGCUUACUAAACCCAUCUUGCCGCGAGGGUUUUAACUCCAAGAUGCAACAUAAAAUGAUGGUGGAACACCGAGUAGGCUCAAAGAAACUAGCAAAGUUACUGAUGUAACAUCCACGAAUUGACUUGAUUUUGCGGAACAUGUAAACAAUUUGAGCAAAAAGUAAAGUAUGCUGGCUAACUAUGGUUCAAAGUGAGAAGCAACCAAACUAGUUCGUUGAUUUUAUUUUGCCAGUCCAAUGCAACAUCUAUGUUAGCAUGUUACCAGUUAAAGCUGUAGUCUAAGGGAUUUCAUUUCUUUAUAGAUAGUUGAUAUCAAACUUACUCUGACAAUAAUGGUGUUAAACUUUCGCAUGAUUUCAAAUGAAAAAAAUUAGGGAAAAUUAUUAAUGUCCGGAAUUCAUCAGAACGUUACUCCUACUAUAUAUAGUAUAUAUUAGCAAUGUAUAUUAGCAACCUGUAAGCUUCACAAAACAAUACAUCAAACAUACUAAAAACAAAACUGAAAUAACCCUUGUUUCAAAAAAAAAAAACAAAACCUACGUACAUGGCUACUAGCUACAUACAAAAGUAUAAUUUGUCAAAGUUUAUGAGCCUCGAUAAAAACCUAGUAAAUAAAUUAUCUCAAGCUAUGGUUUAUAUACUACAAUAUUAAAUCUCAUUUAUCAAAUUAUCAUACUUAAUUCAUAAAAUAUAAAGCUUGAAUUCCGCCGAUGAUUUCUCAAUACACAAUAAUUUUUUUAUUCUUCUUAAUAAUUCCCAAGAGUAUAAAAAUGUAAAAAUCUCGUUUGUUGAGAUCACAUAUUGUAUAUAAAAGAAAAUAAGGAAGGUUCCAACUUCCAAGUUCCUACUCGUUUGAAUAAUUCAUGCUAACUACUAAAUAAAAUGCACGUGACGUGAGUCAUUAUAGUAUACAAAAGUUGGCAUCGCAUUAAUAUGAUUGUCGUAUAUCAAACGACACUGACUCGUUUGCAUAUCGUCACAGAAUCUUGCGAGGAGCCAAUAUCAAUCUCUCUACUUGACAAAUAAAUAAUAGUCCCGACAGUAUUUGUUCACACGACGAACGCAUUAUUAAAGAGAAGAACCUCAUAACUCAUUGAUGUAAUAAUAAUUGCGUAAUUCUAAUGAUUUCUUCGAAUUUCAAGUUGGAAAAUAUCAGUUUUGAUUUUAUUUUAUUAAUAAUAAAAAAACUAGAAUAUUUUGAUGGAUUUCUUUUUAGAAAAUUGUUUUUGAUGGCUCUGAGAUCAGCAAAGCUCUUCCUUUUCAGUCCUUUACACGGGUUUGCAGACAAGGGAAGACCAGUGUGGCAGAGGAAGAGCUCGAUGGCAGAGCUAGACAACGAGGAGCUCCGGCGACUCAAAGAUGUUAACAUGGACGAAGCUCCGGCUCGCCGUCAUGUUCGUGAUUGCUUUAGAGAUAUUCAGCAUAAUCUCGAUCAUAUCCUCAUCAAGACACCAGGAGAUGGAAUUAAGACAAAGGAGUCUUAUGAGGUGAAUUCGAGAGGAUUUGAGAUCUUCUCAAAAAGCUGGCUUCCUGAAUCUUCUAGGCCCAGAGCUCUUGUUUGUUUCUGUCAUGGUUAUGGAGAUACUUGCACGUUUUUCUUCGAAGGGAUCGCAAGGAGAUUGGCAUUGUCGGGAUAUGGAGUUUUCGCUAUGGAUUAUCCAGGGUUUGGUUUAUCGGAAGGCUUGCACGGCUAUAUUUCUAGCUUUGAUCUUCUUGUUGAAGAUGUCAUUGAGCAUUACUCCAACAUCAAAGAGAAACCUGAGUUUAGUUCUCUACCUAGCUUUCUGUUUGGGCAGUCAAUGGGUGGAGCAGUGUCGCUCAAGAUACAUUUCAAACAACCAAAUGCUUGGACCGGUGCAGUCUUGGUAGCACCCAUGUGCAAAAUUGCAGAGGAUAUGGUUCCACCACCUGUAUUGAAACAUAUUUUGAUCGGUUUAUCUAGUGUUCUACCGAAACACAAGCUGGUUCCCCAAAAGGAUUUAACUGAUGCAGCUUUUAGAGAUGUCACUAAGAGAAAAUUGGUAUAAAUAAAUAAAUAAAUAAAUAAUAACCGCUUUUUUUUUGUUAGAUCGAUAUUUUUAUCAAACAGGUCUUCUUGUUAGAGAUGUCAAAAGAAGGCUUGGCCCGCGGGAUAGGCCCGUUUAAACCUGUGGCGGGACGGGCUUGGGCCGAAGAUCCGACAUCCCGCAAUGUCGCGGGCCUCGCGGGAAUAGACUUGCGCGGGAUGGGCUCUGUGCGGGAUGGGCCGAAGAAGACCGCGGUUAACCCUAAUGUCCCGCAGCUUCUUCUCUCUUCAUUUGAUCGGCCACCUGAAGAAAAAAAAAGAGAGAGCGAGAGUGAAAGUGGAGUCGCCACCGCACGAGAUGGAGCUCCGGCCAUGGUUUCUUCUUCGAUGAUGCUUCCUGUCUACCCUUCGCCUUCUAUCUCCUCCAGUGAAGCUUCGUGGAAACAUAACAAGAAGUUUGCGAAGGAACUCUCCAUUGAAGAAGAAGAUCAUCAGCUCCGGUCAUGGUUUCUUCAUCGACGGUGCUCCUGCGCUCUCCUGCGGUACAUGCAUGUACAUCUUGUUCUAUUUCUCUCAAGUUUCCACCUUUUGUUUGAUCCAUGAUUGGCUUCGGAGAAAUGAGGAAAGCGCAGAUGAGAUUGUCAGAUACAUGGUGCGACCGAUGAAGGAGAAGUUUGACAAAUAUUGGGAUGAAGUAUUUGCGUGACAAGCUCAGUAUUCUGUUUGAGACAUACGACAAAAACUCCAAGAAUAACUCACCUUCCACUGAGCCACGUGACACUGUUCCGCAAAAAGCUUGUGCGGCAGGAUCAAUGGGACUGUUUGGAAACUACAAUGUGAGUGUUUUCAAUUUUUUUCCUUCUGUUUAUUUUUUUUUUCACACAAGCAUUUUUUUCACGAGUAGAAGUGUGUUUAUCUUUCACAAGCAUUUUUUUUUUCUGUUCAAUUUUUUUUCCUUCUGUCGUCAGCCUCCAAUUUUGUUUUCCUCUCUGAUAUUUUUUUUUUAAUUUUCUUAGGAUUUCUUUGCAUUUCGCAAAGUCAGUGGAAUUGUUAGUGGAAAGACACCUCUAGAAGCUUAUCUUGAAGAACCACCUUUGGACAUUACUAAUUUCCAGAGCUUGGACAUCCUCGAUUGGUGGAAAGAUAAUGCGCAUCGGUAUGGUGACUUGGCUGCAAUGGCAUGUGAUCUGCUAAGUAUUCUAAUCACAACAGUGGCUUUGGAGUCCUCCUUCAGUAUUGGAUCGCGAGUUCUAAACAAAUAUAGGAGUCGUCUACUCCUAGAAAAUGUGCAAGCUCUGAUAUGCACUAGGAAUUGGAUCAAAGGAUAUGAAUCUUACGUACAUGAUGAAGAAAUAGAUGGUGAUGGAGAAGAAGAGAAAUUACCAACAUUUGAGUCCAUUGUUGAUGGGGAAGAUGAAGAUGAGUAGAUGAGCAAGUUUGAAAUGUUAUCUUGAUUUGGUGUUUUGAUUCAAUUACAAUUUCAGAUUUCUUGUUUAAGUUGCAUGAUUUUUGGUUUUGAAUACUAUGAUUUGGACCAUUUGGUGUUUCUCUAAAUUUUACUUUAGUUGAGACUUAAUUUUUUA
RNA transcript from Brassica rapa (field mustard), 7020 nucleotides. It is a transcript of the gene named caffeoylshikimate esterase, with no coding region annotated. The record is from RefSeq and is a predicted model, not a curated record. NCBI's taxonomy places the organism in Eukaryota, Viridiplantae, Streptophyta, Magnoliopsida, Brassicales, Brassicaceae.